This 203-nucleotide long non-coding RNA is filed under the name Elaeis guineensis (African oil palm). RNAcentral describes it as "long non-coding RNA (EGUI_LNC032119)". The record is from RNAcentral. Lineage: Eukaryota; Viridiplantae; Streptophyta; Magnoliopsida; Arecales; Arecaceae.
CCCAUGUAAAUGAUGACUUCUCAAUUUUCAAAACCCUUAUAAUUGCUGAAAGAUCUGAUGAGUUAUUUUCAAAAAGCAUGGCUUCAAAUCAUUAAAUAAUAAAUAGCACCGAAAUUAUCAUACGGCACAUUUAUUGCUAGUGCCAGAAGUCGAAAAAAUAUCUUUUAUUCUACUUUCCACACUCGAUGUGAGAAAUGUCACCU